Molecule: ribosomal RNA, 495 nt
Filed under: uncultured bacterium
Lineage: Bacteria
Description: partial 16S ribosomal RNA
Rfam family: Bacterial small subunit ribosomal RNA
Source: RNAcentral
GACGAACGCUGGCGGCGUGCCUAAUACAUGCAAGUAGAACGCUGAAGGAGGAGCUUGCUUCUCUGGAUGAGUUGCGAACGGGUGAGUAACGCGUAGGUAACCUGCCUGGUAGCAGGGGAUAACUAUUGGAAACGAUAGCUAAUACCGCAUAAGAGUAGAUGUUGCAUGACAUUUGCUUAAAAGGUGCAAUUGCAUCACUACCAGAUGGACCUGCGUUGUAUUAGCUAGUUGGUGGGGUAACGGCUUACCAAGGCGACGAUACAUAGCCGACCUGAGAGGGGGAACGGCCACACUGGGACUGAGACACGGCCCAGACUCCUACGGGAAGCAGCAGUAGGGAAUCUUCGGCAAUGGACGGAAGUCUGAACGAGCAACGCCGCGUGAGUGAAGAAGGUUUUCGGAUCGUAAAGCUCUGUUGUAAGAGAAGAACGAGGGUGAGAGUGGAAAGUUCACACUGUGACGGUAUCUUACCAGAAAGGGACGGCUAACUACGUG